CCUACGGGAGGCAGCAGUGAGGAAUAUUGGUCAAUGGACGAGAGUCUGAACCAGCCAAGUAGCGUGAAGGAUGACUGCCCUAUGGGUUGUAAACUUCUUUUAUAUGGGAAUAAAAUGUUCCACGUGUGGGAUUUUGUAUGUACCCUGUGAAUAAGGAUCGGCUAACUCCGUGCCAGCAGCCGCGGUAAUACGGAGGAUCCGAGCGUUAUCCGGGUUUAUUGGGGUUAAAGGGGGCGUAGGUGGAUGGUUUAGGCAGUUGGUAAAGUUUGCGGGCCAACCGUAAAAUGGCAGUUGAAACUGGCAGUCUUGAGUACAGUAGAGGUGGGCGGAAUGCGUGGUGUAGCGGUGAAAUGCUUAGAUAUCACGAAGAACUCCGAUUGCGAAGGCAGUUCACUGGAGUGCAACUGACACUGAGGCUCGAAAGUGUGGGGAUCAAACAGGAUUAGAUACCCUUGUAGUC
RNAcentral lists this ribosomal RNA (460 nucleotides) under uncultured bacterium. RNAcentral's name for it is "partial 16S ribosomal RNA". It matches the Rfam family "Bacterial small subunit ribosomal RNA", at positions 338 to 795 of the family's 1533-position model. The record is from RNAcentral.